GUGCGUAACGCGUAUACAAUCUGCCUUUCACUGGGGGAUAGCCCGAAGAAAUUUGGAUUAAUACCCCAUAGUAUAGUAGUGUGGCAUCACACAACUAUUAAAGCYUWGGUGGUGAAAGAUGAGUAUGCGUUCUAUUAGCUAGUUGGAGAGGUAACGGCUCCCCAAGGCKAYGAUAGAUAGGGGUUCUGAGAGGGAUGUCCCCCACACUGGUACUGAGAUACGGACCAGACUCCUACGGGAGGCAGCAGUGAGGAAUAUUGGACAAUGGUCGGAAGACUGAUCCAGCCAUGCCGCGUGCAGGAUGACGGCCUUAUGGGUUGUAAACUGCU
Molecule: ribosomal RNA, 329 nt
Filed under: Capnocytophaga sp. AHN8714
Lineage: Bacteria; Pseudomonadati; Bacteroidota; Flavobacteriia; Flavobacteriales; Flavobacteriaceae
Description: bacterial SSU rRNA
Rfam family: Bacterial small subunit ribosomal RNA
Source: RNAcentral